RNAcentral lists this ribosomal RNA (468 nucleotides) under uncultured bacterium. RNAcentral's name for it is "partial 16S ribosomal RNA". It matches the Rfam family "Bacterial small subunit ribosomal RNA", at positions 28 to 507 of the family's 1533-position model. The record is from RNAcentral.
GACGAACGCUGGCGGCGUGCUUAACACAUGCAAGUCGAACGGAAAGGCCCUGCUUUUGUGGGGUGCUCGAGUGGCGAACGGGUGAGUAACACGUGAGUAACCUGCCCUUGACUUUGGGAUAACUUCAGGAAACUGGGGCUAAUACCGGAUAGGAGCUCCUGCUGCAUGGUGGGGGUUGGAAAGUUUCGGCGGUUGGGGAUGGACUCGCGGCUUAUCAGCUUGUUGGUGGGGUAGUGGCUUACCAAGGCUUUGACGGGUGGCCGGCCUGAGAGGGUGACCGGCGACAUUGGGACUGAGAUACGGCGCAGACUCGUACGGGAGGCAGCAGUGGGGAAUAUUGCACAAUGGGCGGAAGCGUGAUGCAGCAACGCCGCGCGCGGGAUGACGGCCUUCGGGUUGUAAACCGCUUUCGCCUGUGACGAAGCGUGAGUGACGGUAAUGGGUAAAGAAGCACCGGCUAACUACGUG